GACGAACGCUGGCGGCGUGCUUAACACAUGCAAGUCGAACGGAAAGGCCCUGCUUUUGUGGGGUGCUCGAGUGGCGAACGGGUGAGUAACACGUGAGUAACCUGCCCUUGACUUUGGGAUAACUUCAGGAAACUGGGGCUAAUACCGGAUAGGAGCUCCUGCUGCAUGGUGGGGGUUGGAAAGUUUCGGCGGUUGGGGAUGGACUCGCGGCUUAUCAGCUUGUUGGUGGGGUAAGGGCUUACCAGGGCUUUGACGGGUAGCCGGCCUGAGAGGGUGCCCGGCUCCAUUGGCUCUUACUUAGGGCCCAGACGCCAACAGGAGGCGGAUGUGGGAAAAAUUGACGAAUGGCGGAAGCCUGAUGCAGCAACGCCGCGUGCGGGAUGACGGCCUUCGGGUUGUAAACCGCUUUCGCCUGUGACGAAGCGUGAGUGACGGUAAUGGGUAAAGAAGCACCGGCUAACUACGUG
Molecule: ribosomal RNA, 467 nt
Filed under: uncultured bacterium
Lineage: Bacteria
Description: partial 16S ribosomal RNA
Rfam family: Bacterial small subunit ribosomal RNA
Source: RNAcentral